Molecule: ribosomal RNA, 497 nt
Filed under: uncultured bacterium
Lineage: Bacteria
Description: bacterial SSU rRNA
Rfam family: Bacterial small subunit ribosomal RNA
Source: RNAcentral
CUGGCGGCGUGCUUAACACAUGCAAGUCGAACGAUGAAACUAUGACGGAGGCUUCGGCCAACUGAGUGGUGGAUUAGUGGCGGACGGGUGAGUAACGCGUGAGUAACCUGCCUGGGAGUGGGGAAUAACACAGUGAAAAUUGUGCUAAUACCGCAUAAUGCAGUUGUACCGCAUGGUACUGACUGCCAAAGAUUUAUCGCUCUUAGAUGGACUCGCGUCUGAUUAGCUAGUUGGUGGGGCAACGGCCUACCAAGGCGACGAUCAGUAGCCGGUCUGAGAGGAUGAACGGCCACAUUGGAACUGAGACACGGUCCAGACUCCUACGGGAGGCAGCAGUGGGGAAUCUUCCGCAAUGGGCGAAAGCCUGACGGAGCAACGCCGCGUGAGUGAAGAAGGCCUUCGGGUCGUAAAGCUCUGUUGUCGGGGACGAAUGUACGAACUAUCAACAACGGUUCGUAAUGACGGUACCUGACGAGGAAGCCACGGCUAACUACGUG